AGGUUUCCUCCUGAGUCAGGCAGAGGAGAGAAAGCAGGGAAAGGGUCAUUUUUCAGAAAUGGACCUGGAUUCCUGUGAGGCAGAGAGGCCUCCGUUGGACACCAGAGAGAGGCCACUGGGUGACAGAAUGAUGCUGGCAAGACCUCCUGAUCAGGCUUUCCAUGGGGGCAGAAGGGAAGCAGCGGCUGUGGAACCAGAUCAGGUCAGGGGAAGCUGCCUUGUGGGGACAGAGGCUGAGGGAUGGAGCAAGGUCAUGGACGGGUUGGGCACAGAGGAAUGGUGGGAGGAAGCAGCUGUGGAACC
Lacerta agilis (Sand lizard) is the source of this 303-nucleotide long non-coding RNA. RefSeq lists it as uncharacterized. The transcript is spliced from 3 exons. NCBI's taxonomy places the organism in Eukaryota, Metazoa, Chordata, Lepidosauria, Squamata, Lacertidae. The record is from RefSeq and is a predicted model, not a curated record.